UAGCUCAAUAAAUUACUUCAAAAAGGCCAUACUCUAGAAACCCUGAUCAACCUGAACAUGUUAAACCUUUUUUUUUUUCAGUACUGUAUUUUCACCUUCAAAAAGGAUAUGAAGCCAUAAAGAAAAAGACAGAAAAGUUAUAGAUAUGAUGAUGGUAAUGUACUGAUGUAACAGGAACAAAGAGAUAAAAGUGAGAGAUGUAAAACAAAUGUCCUAUUCAAAGCAAUCCAUGUCACCCUUAAAAAGGCAAUUUUCUUUUUUACCUCUUUUCCAUUCUCUUUUGAUAAAACUUUGAAUAUUAUUGAUGGUUUACAAAUUUUCUCGAUUCUUGAAACUUUGUCCUCAAUUUGUGAGCUUGAAGCAUUCACACAGACACCAGAUACAAUACUGACAUGUCUGAUACCGAACACAUCUUAAUCUGAAGUGUUGGUGCUACAUGGGCUGUGAACUCUGGAUGCUAUUGCUAACAUGCGACCGCAUUUUCCAACUAAGAACGGCAAANNNN
Molecule: long non-coding RNA, 505 nt
Filed under: Trifolium pratense (red clover)
Lineage: Eukaryota; Viridiplantae; Streptophyta; Magnoliopsida; Fabales; Fabaceae
Description: long non-coding RNA (TPRA_LNC002108)
Source: RNAcentral